RNAcentral lists this unclassified non-coding RNA (203 nucleotides) under Hevea brasiliensis (rubber tree). Lineage: Eukaryota; Viridiplantae; Streptophyta; Magnoliopsida; Malpighiales; Euphorbiaceae. The record is from RNAcentral.
CCCGCUUCUUCGAAAACCCGACUCACAACUGGGUCGUCGAGGAUUGAUAGAAUCAGGUUCUGGAGCUCCACUUUUAUACACGACAUUGAAGCGGAGGAUUGCUGCUGCGAUAAUUGGCAAUACAAGUCGAAAUUCUCCGGCUGCCUCCUCUGUUUAGCCUGAGAACGUUUUAUUGCCGCCAUGAGAGAGUUCGACACCGGCGG